UAGUCUGGGAAACUGCCUGAUGGAGGGGGGUAACUACUGGAAACGGUAGCUAAUACCGCAUAAUGUCGCAAGACCAAAGUGGGGGACCUUCGGGCCUCAUGCCAUCAGAUGCGCCCAGAUGGGAUUAGCUAGUAGGUGGGGUAAUGGCUCACCUAGGCGACGAUCCCUAGCUGGUCUGAGAGGAUGACCAGCCACACUGGAACUGAGACACGGUCCAG
This 218-nucleotide ribosomal RNA is filed under the name uncultured bacterium. RNAcentral describes it as "partial 16S ribosomal RNA". It matches the Rfam family "Bacterial small subunit ribosomal RNA", at positions 113 to 334 of the family's 1533-position model. The record is from RNAcentral.